This 623-nucleotide ribosomal RNA is filed under the name uncultured bacterium. RNAcentral's name for it is "bacterial SSU rRNA". It matches the Rfam family "Bacterial small subunit ribosomal RNA", at positions 28 to 639 of the family's 1533-position model. The record is from RNAcentral.
AUUGAACGCUGGCGGCAUGCCUUACACAUGCAAGUCGAACGGCAGCAUGACGUGUAGCAAUACACGUUGAUGGCGAGUGGCGAACGGGUGAGUAAUAUAUCGGAACGUGCCCUGUAGCGGGGGAUAACCUAUCGAAAGAUGGACUAAUACCGCAUACGCUCUACGGAGGAAAGCGGGGGUCGCAAGACCUCGCACUAUAGGAGCGGCCGAUAUCGGAUUAGCUAGUUGGCGGGGUAAAAGCCCACCAAGGCGACGAUCCGUAGCUGGUCUGAGAGGAUGAUCAGCCACACUGGAACUGAGACACGGUCCAGACUCCUACGGGAGGCAGCAGUGGGGAAUUUUGGACAAUGGGCGCAAGCCUGAUCCAGCCAUGCCGCGUGAGUGAAGAAGGCCUUCGGGUUGUAAAGCUCUUUCGGCAGGAACGAAAUGGUUCGUGCUAAUACCACGGACUGAUGACGGUACCUGAAGAAGAAGCACCGGCUAACUACGUGCCAGCAGCCGCGGUAAUACGUAGGGUGCAGGCGUUAAUCGGAAUUACUGGGCGUAAAGCGUGCGCAGGCGGUUUCUUAAGUCAGAUGUGAAAGCCCCGGGCUUAACCUGGGAACUGCGUUUGAAACUGGGAG